Molecule: ribosomal RNA, 1372 nt
Filed under: uncultured bacterium
Lineage: Bacteria
Description: bacterial SSU rRNA
Rfam family: Bacterial small subunit ribosomal RNA
Source: RNAcentral
GAUGAACGCUGGCGGCGUGCCUAAUACAUGCAAGUCGAGCGAACGGACGAGAAGCUUGCUUCUCUGAUGUUAGCGGCGGACGGGUGAGUAACACGUGGAUAACCUACCUAUAAGACUGGGAUAACUUCGGGAAACCGGAGCUAAUACCGGAUAAUAUUUUGAACCGCAUGGUUCAAAAGUGAAAGACGGUCUUGCUGUCACUUAUAGAUGGAUCCGCGCUGCAUUAGCUAGUUGGUAAGGUAACGGCUUACCAAGGCAACGAUGCAUAGCCGACCUGAGAGGGUGAUCGGCCACACUGGAACUGAGACACGGUCCAGACUCCUACGGGAGGCAGCAGUAGGGAAUCUUCCGCAAUGGGCGAAAGCCUGACGGAGCAACGCCGCGUGAGUGAUGAAGAUCUUCGGACCGUAAAACUCUGUUAUUAGGGAAGAACAUAUGUGUAAGUAACUGUGCACAUCUUGACGGUACCUAAUCAGAAAGCCACGGCUAACUACGUGCCAGCAGCCGCGGUAAUACGUAGGUGGCAAGCGUUAUCCGGAAUUAUUGGGCGUAAAGCGCGCGUAGGCGGUUUUUUAAGUCUGAUGUGAAAGCCCACGGCUCAACCGUGGAGGGUCAUUGGAAACUGGAAAACUUGAGUGCAGAAGAGGAAAGUGGAAUUCCAUGUGUAGCGGUGAAAUGCGCAGAGAUAUGGAGGAACACCAGUGGCGAAGGCGACUUUCUGGUCUGUAACUGACGCUGAUGUGCGAAAGCGUGGGGAUCAAACAGGAUUAGAUACCCUGGUAGUCCACGCCGUAAACGAUGAGUGCUAAGUGUUAGGGGGUUUCCGCCCCUUAGUGCUGCAGCUAACGCAUUAAGCACUCCGCCUGGGGAGUACGACCGCAAGGUUGAAACUCAAAGGGAUUGACGGGGACCCGCACAAGCGGUGGAGCAUGUGGUUUAAUUCGAAGCAACGCGAAGAACCUUACCAAAUCUUGACAUCCUUUGACAACUCUAGAGAUAGAGCCUUCCCCUUCGGGGGACAAAGUGACAGGUGGUGCAUGGUUGUCGUCAGCUCGUGUCGUGAGAUGUUGGGUUAAGUCCCGCAACGAGCGCAACCCUUAAGCUUAGUUGCCAUCAUUAAGUUGGGCACUCUAAGUUGACUGCCGGUGACAAACCGGAGGAAGGUGGGGAUGACGUCAAAUCAUCAUGCCCCUUAUGAUUUGGGCUACACACGUGCUACAAUGGACAAUACAAAGGGCAGCGAAACCGCGAGGUCAAGCAAAUCCCAUAAAGUUGUUCUCAGUUCGGAUUGUAGUCUGCAACUCGACUACAUGAAGCUGGAAUCGCUAGUAAUCGUAGAUCAGCAUGCUACGGUGAAUACGUUCCCGGGUCU